Nymphaea colorata (pocket water lily) is the source of this 501-nucleotide long non-coding RNA. RefSeq lists it as uncharacterized. Lineage: Eukaryota; Viridiplantae; Streptophyta; Magnoliopsida; Nymphaeales; Nymphaeaceae. The record is from RefSeq and is a predicted model, not a curated record. The transcript has 2 exons.
GCACUCAACCAGUCUUCCUCCACCAGCUGCAGUUGGCAUUUACAAUGAAGCGAGUUUCCCUUCCAUUCAUCUUUCUUGCCCUUCUAUUACUGUCCUCUGUGGCUUUUGCACGCACACUAUAUCAGAAUAAGAAUGAAAACAAUCCGAACCAUGGGGUUGACCAAUGGUCACGCAUAAUAGGCGGGGGAGUACGCGGAGGAGCAAAAGGAGGAUGCGCACUUUUCUGCCAUUAUUUAAAUCGGUGCUGCACGGCGGCGGAGUAUGCCGAGUUCGAGAAAGCUCACAGUGUUCCUAAGAACUGAAACUUUAUAUGAUGAUGGUGAUGAUGAUAGUAUCUAUGGUGCUUAUCAAUAAGAAGGAGUGCAUGCUUGCUGCUCUGCAGAAGAGCAUGCAUGCAUUCUGUGGAUUUCCUAGUUCUUGCUGUUAGUAAGAACCAAUGUAUAUUUACAGUUUGUCAUGUUUGUACCUGUGCAAUGAAAUUAAAUGACUUUUGUUCAGUUA